UCCGGUUGAUCCUGCCGGACCUGACUGCUAUCGGAUUGAUACUAAGCCAUGCAAGUCUUUGUAGUAAUACAAGGCAUACGGCUCAGUAACGCGUAGUCAACCUACCCUAUGGAUGGGGAUAAUCUCGGGAAACUGAGCAUAAUACCCAACAGAUCAUCAAUUCUGGAAUGGUUGAUGGUUCAAAUGAUUUUUCGCCAUAGGAUGGGACUGCGGCCUAUCAGCUUGUUGGUGAGGUAAUGGCCCACCAAGGCAAUUACAGGUACGGGCUCUGAGAGGAGAAGCCCGGAGAUGGGUACUGAGACAAGGACCCAGGCCCUAUGGGGCGCAGCAGGCGAGAAAACUUUGCAAUGUGCGAAAGCACGACAAGGUUAAUCCGAGUGAUUUCUGCUAAAGGAAUCUUUUACCAGUUCUAAAAAUACUGGCGAAUAAGGGGUGGGCAAGUUCUGGUGUCAGCCGCCGCGGUAAAACCAGCACCUCAAGUGGUCAGGAGGAUUAUUGGGCCUAAAGCAUCCGUAGCCGGCUCUGUAAGUUUUCGGUUAAAUCUAUAUGCUCAACGUAUAGGCUGCCGAAAAUACUGCACAGCUAGGGAAUGGGAGAGGUAGACGGUACUCGGUAGGAAGGGGUAAAAUCCUUUGAUCUAUCGAUGACCACCUGUGGCGAAGGCGGUCUACCAGAACAUGUUCGACGGUGAGGGAUGAAAGCUGGGGGAGCAAACCGGAUUAGAUACCCGGGUAGUCCCAGCUGUAAACGAUGCAGACUCGAUAAUGCACUGGCACAUAGCCAGUGCAGUGUCGCAGGGAAGCCGUUAAGUCUGCCGCCUGGGAAGUACGUACGCAAGUAUGAAACUUAAAGGAAUUGGCGGGGGAGCACCACAAGGGGUGAAGCCUGCGGUUCAAUUGGAGUCAACGCCGGA
RNAcentral lists this ribosomal RNA (913 nucleotides) under uncultured marine archaeon. RNAcentral's name for it is "bacterial SSU rRNA". It matches the Rfam family "Archaeal small subunit ribosomal RNA", at positions 1 to 922 of the family's 1478-position model. The record is from RNAcentral.